Molecule: ribosomal RNA, 484 nt
Filed under: uncultured bacterium
Lineage: Bacteria
Description: partial 16S ribosomal RNA
Rfam family: Bacterial small subunit ribosomal RNA
Source: RNAcentral
AUUGAACGCUGGCGGCAUGCUUUACACAUGCAAGUCGAACGGCAGCGCGGGCUUCGGCCUGGCGGCGAGUGGCGAACGGGUGAGUAAUGCAUCGGAACGUGCCCAGUAGUGGGGGAUAGCCCGGCGAAAGCCGGAUUAAUACCGCAUACGACCUGAGGGUGAAAGCGGGGGAGCGAAAGGCCUCGCGCUAUUGUAGCGGCCGAUGUCGGAUUGGCUAGUUGGUGGGGUAAAGGCUUACCAAGGCGACGAUCCGUAGCUGGUCUGAGAGGACGACCAGCCACACUGGGACUGAGACACGGCCCAGACUCCUACGGGAGGCAGCAGUGGGGAAUUUUGGACAAUGGGGGCAACCCUGGUCCAGCCAUGCCGCGUGCGGGAAGAAGGCCUUCGGGUUGUAAACCGCUUUUGUUCGGGAAGAAAUCCUCUGGGCUAAUACCCCGGGGGGAUGACGGUACCGGAAGAAUAAGCACCGGCUAACUACGUG